GCAGUAGCCGCGGUAACACGAAGGGUGCAAGCGUUAAUCGGAAUUACUGGGCGUAAAGCGUGCGUAGGCGGUUUGUUAAGUCUGCUGUGAAAUCCCCGGGCUCAACCUGGGAAUGGCAGUGGAUACUGGCAAGCUAGAGUGUGUCAGAGGAUGGUGGAAUUCCCGGUGUAGCGGUGAAAUGCGUAGAGAUCGGGAGGAACAUCAGUGGCGAAGGCGGCCAUCUGGGACAACACUGACGCUGAGGCACGAAAGCGUGGGGAGCAAACAGGAUUAGAUACCCCAGUAGUCCCUGUCUCUUAUA
This 301-nucleotide ribosomal RNA is filed under the name uncultured bacterium. RNAcentral's name for it is "partial 16S ribosomal RNA". It matches the Rfam family "Bacterial small subunit ribosomal RNA", at positions 508 to 808 of the family's 1533-position model. The record is from RNAcentral.